UGGGGAAUAUUGCACAAUGGGCGGAAGCCUGAUGCAGCAACGCCGCGUGCGGGAUGACGGCCUUCGGGUUGUAAACCGCUUUCGCCUGUGACGAAGCGUGAGUGACGGUAAUGGGUAAAGAAGCACCGGCUAACUACG
This 138-nucleotide ribosomal RNA is filed under the name uncultured bacterium. RNAcentral's name for it is "partial 16S ribosomal RNA". It matches the Rfam family "Bacterial small subunit ribosomal RNA", at positions 355 to 505 of the family's 1533-position model. The record is from RNAcentral.